Molecule: ribosomal RNA, 497 nt
Filed under: uncultured bacterium
Lineage: Bacteria
Description: partial 16S ribosomal RNA
Rfam family: Bacterial small subunit ribosomal RNA
Source: RNAcentral
GAUGAACGCUGGCGGCGUGCCUAAUACAUGCAAGUCGAGCGAACGGACGAGAAGCUUGCUUCUCUGAUGUUAGCGGCGGACGGGUGAGUAACACGUGGAUCACCUACCUAUAUGACUGGGAUAACUUCGGGAAACCGGAGCUAAUACCGGAUCAUAUUUUGAACCGCUUGGUUCAAAAGUUAAAGACGGUCUUGCUGUCACUUUUAGAUGGAUCCGCGCUGCAUUAGCUAGUUGGUAAGGUAACGGCUUACCAAGGCGACGAUGCAUAGCCGACCUGAGAGGGUGAUCGGCCACACUGGAACUGAGACACGGUCCAGACUCCUACGGGAGGCAGCAGUAGGGAAUCUUCCGCAAAGGGCGAAAGCCUGACGGAGCAACGCCGCGUGAGUGAUGAAGGUCUUCGGAUCGUAAAACUCUGUUAUUAGGGAAGAACAGAUGUGUAAGUAACUGUGCACAUCUUGACGGUACCUAAUCAGAAAGCCACGGCUAACUACGUG